GUGCUUCACCACGGGAGUAAAACCUUUGAAACGAAUUAUUCUCGCAAGAGCUGAGCAUAUGUUUUUUUUAUGUUUUACUUCUUUUGGCCCACAUAACUCAUUGCGUUGCUCAAGUCGAGGAAAGCGAUCCUGAGCGUGUCAUUAGGACGUACUUAAAUCAAACGGAACCAUCUCCAUUUUGAUAUGGGCCCUGUCGUCUACGUGUAUUCGGAUAUGAGUCUCAGGGCCCAGGUUUCAGUGGAAAUAGUCCCUUUUGCUUUUAAUAAAUUCAUUUUAAAUACCAUCACCUCAACCAAUACGUCUCGGACUAGAACAGUGACGGGAGUAAACCCCCAAAAAAUGAGGGAUUGUUUGAGUAGCAAAUGAUAGCCACGCUAUGAAACGAGCAUAUUUGAUUGCGUCAACGCUCAACGGGCGUCUACCAACUGGGCCGAUUAUCCGUGCCUACCAUUAAAAAUCAAUUUGGCCUGUUUAUCGCAAUUGUGCCCCCGGGUCGACCAUUGUCUCGUCGCGAGGAAAAUUCUACGCAAUUUUGAACGCUGAGUGUAUUGCGGGAUGUCAGGUAAGUUUGAUGACAUAGUCUUAUCAGUAAGCUCAAGGAAAAUUAAUUUUCUGAUAGAUUAGUCGCACUAUCAUGAGACUGGAAUCUGAUGGAAAAAGUAGGUGAGGGAAAAUAUUUUUACGACGAAAAUUGAGAACAAAGGUAUUUCGAAUGAACUUCAAUGCAAUGUUUUCUUCAAUGGAUCUUUACAGAAUAUUUGUGGUUACAGGAUCCCUGGUCACAUAUUACAUGAUCUACAGUAAAACUGGUAGCCAAUCCCAACUUUCUGACAUGGCCCUCCGCAUCUCGUUAACAUAACCAAAUACAUGAUUUUCUGGAUGCCAAACGGUACCGCUAAA
Non-coding RNA from Bemisia tabaci, 900 nucleotides. Lineage: Eukaryota; Metazoa; Arthropoda; Insecta; Hemiptera; Aleyrodidae. The record is from RefSeq and is a predicted model, not a curated record.